GACGAACGCUGGCGGCGUGCUUAACACAUGCAAGUCGAGCGGGAUCCAACCGGUGGCAACACCGGGGAAGAUCUAGCGGCGAACGGGUGAGUAACACGUGAGCAACCUGCCCCGAAGACUGGGAUAACACCGGGAAACCGGUGCUAAUACCGGAUGUCGUCAUUAGGCCGCAUGACCUGAUGAUGAAAGGAUUCAUCGCUUCGGGAGGGGCUCGCGGGCUAUCAGCNGUUGGUGGGGUAACGGCCUACCAAGGCGACGACGGCUAGCUGGUCUGAGAGGACGACCAGCCACACUGGGACUGAGACACGGCCCAGACUCCUACGGGAGGCAGCAGUGGGGAAUAUUGGACAAUGGGCGCAAGCCUGAUCCAGCGAUGCCGCGUGUGUGAAGAAGGCCUGCGGGUUGU
RNAcentral lists this ribosomal RNA (406 nucleotides) under uncultured bacterium. RNAcentral's name for it is "bacterial SSU rRNA". It matches the Rfam family "Bacterial small subunit ribosomal RNA", at positions 28 to 426 of the family's 1533-position model. The record is from RNAcentral.